UUCAUUCAUCUACUCCUGGAGUUGGAGAGCAACGAUCGCAACUACUUGCCCUUGAUCAGCAAAUCUCGGAAUUUAUGUGGGUCCAAUUGUUCAUCUUCCAAAAGAUAUCGACUCGAAGGAUGCCGCUGCAACAAAAUGUAAAUGCAGUGUCGCACCAGGACUGUAACAUAUGUAUGAUUCGAAGGAGAUUGUAGGUCGCCAUUUUAUUUUCGCCAAUCUGUUGUUACCCAAGAAACUUUGCUCUGGCAGUGUUGUUUUCUCUUG
RNAcentral lists this small RNA (264 nucleotides) under Oryza sativa Japonica Group (Japanese rice). RNAcentral describes it as "misc RNA OsORC1". The record is from RNAcentral. Lineage: Eukaryota; Viridiplantae; Streptophyta; Magnoliopsida; Poales; Poaceae.